GACGAGCGCUGGCGGUGUGCUUAACACAUGCAAGUCGAACGGUAAGGCCCUUUCGGGGGUACACGAGUGGCGAACGGGUGAGUAACACGUGAGUAACCUGCCCUCAUCUCUGGGAUAACAGUCGGAAACGGUUGCUAAUACUGGAUAUGAGCCUGCAAGGCAUCUUGUGGGUUGGAAAGAUUUUUUGGUUGGGGAUGGACUCGCGGCCUAUCAGCUUGUUGGUGAGGUAGUGGCUCACCAAGGCUUCGACGGGUAGCCGGCCUGAGAGGGCGACCGGCCACAUUGGGACUGAGAUACGGCCCAAACUCCUACGGGAGGCAGCAGUGGGGAAUAUUGCACAAUGGACGGAAGUCUGAUGCAGCAACGCCGCGUGCGGGAUGACGGCCUUCGGGUUGUAAACCGCUUUCAAUUGUGACGAAGCUUUUUGUGACGGUAGCAGUAGAAGAAGCACCGGCUAACUACGUG
This 465-nucleotide ribosomal RNA is filed under the name uncultured bacterium. RNAcentral describes it as "partial 16S ribosomal RNA". It matches the Rfam family "Bacterial small subunit ribosomal RNA", at positions 28 to 507 of the family's 1533-position model. The record is from RNAcentral.